AAGUCGUAACAAGGUCUCCGUUGGUGAACCAGCGGAGGGAUCAUUAAAGAGUUGCAAAACUCCCACAACCAUCGCGAACGUUACCCGUAACCGUUGCCUCGGUGGCGUCGACCCUCCGGGGUCGCCCGCCGGCGGCACCCGAAACUAUGUUUUUGUAGGCCUCUCUGAGUAACUUAUCAAAUAAGUCAAAACUUUUAACAACGGAUCUCUUGGUUCUG
RNAcentral lists this unclassified non-coding RNA (218 nucleotides) under fungal sp. Its description in RNAcentral is "partial internal transcribed spacer region". The stretch from base 1 to 46 matches the Rfam family "Eukaryotic small subunit ribosomal RNA", at positions 1786 to 1831 of the family's 1831-position model. Lineage: Eukaryota; Fungi. The record is from RNAcentral.